AUGGCGACGCCGCAACCCGCCGGGCUGGCGCUGCGGGCAGGAGCGGUGUUCAGGCCCAGCGGCCGCCAGCUCAUCACGCUGUACCUCGGCCGCAACGCGCUCCGCGGCGAGCUCCCCGACGCCGCCGUCAUCCCCGGCGGCUGCGUCGUCACGGCGGGCGUGGACGUCUUCGCCGCGAGCCCCGGCGCGCUCCCCUUCCAGGCGAGCCACAGGGGGGCGCACGGGGAGGUGUGGGGCUACUUCGCCGCCGCGUCCCCGACCGCCGACAGCGCCCAGCCGGCGCCGGGCGGGUGCUGGGUGCGGCACGGCACCGAGAAGCUGUACGAGCUCAAGGGGGAGGCGCUCGGCUACCGGAGCAGGUACGCGUUCUACGUCACGCGGGCGGAGCGGGCUCGGGUGGUGUGGACGCCGACGCGGUGGCUGAUGAAGGAGUACCGCCUCCACAAGGGCGCCGCCGUCUUCCGCAGCAAGCUGCCCGACCACCCCAACGCCAACAUGGAUUUCGUGGUCCGCAAGGUCUUCACGAAGCCGGCGGUCCCCGUGCCGCCGCCUGCCCGCUCCGGCUUGGUGGUCCGGCGGGUAGGAGGCAGCGUUCCGUCGCGCCAAGCCCGACCAACCCGGGCGGCGUUCGUCAAGGCCCGAGGUGGCGCUCAACCGAUACUGCCGUGUGCCUGCCGUGGCGAGACGCUCCGGCCAGGAGGAAACCCCCUUCCGCCGCGCUCGGACCGACCACCUAAGGUCAUCGCGAAGCCGGUGCUCCCCGCGGCGCCUCUGAUCCUUGCACCGCCUGCCCACUCCAACGAGGACGCCGGCAACCGCAACGACAAUGCAAUGUCGUGGACGCGCGUCGGCGGGGAGUGCAACUACAACUACAAGGUACCCAGCGGCCGCCAGAUCAUCGUCGAGUACCUCGGCCCCAAGGCAACCACUGGCAAGAUCGCCGACCGCGCCGCCCCGGGCUUCGUCGCGGAGGGCGUGGACAUCUUUGCGGCGAGCCCGGACGCGCUCCCCUUCCCGCCCGGCCACAGGAAGCAGGACGGGGAGGCGUGGGGCUACUUCUUCGCGGCGAAGCCUGCCAGCAGCAUGCGGCGGGCGCCCGGCGGGUGGUGGAUGCAGUACGGCGACGCGAAGGGGUACGAGUUCCGCGGGGAGGUGUACGCCCGCCACCGCAGGUUCGAGUUCCGCGCGGCGCGGGCGGACGACGGAGGCGGCAAGGUGACGUGGGAGCAGACGCGGUGGCUGAUGAAGGAGUACGCGCUCCACAAGGGCGCGGACGCCUUCCGCGGCGCGACGACCGGCCCGGCCGGUGCCAACAUGGACCUCGUGGUCUACAAGGUGUUCACGAAGCCGGUGGUCACUCCACCGCCGCCACCUGCACUCUCGAGCGAGGCGGAGAACCAGGCGAGGAAGGGCGCUGGAUCUAGUUCAGACUCGGAUGCGCCCAGGAUUGUUUUCGACAUUGAUCUGAACAACUAA
RNAcentral lists this ribosomal RNA (1476 nucleotides) under Triticum aestivum (bread wheat). Its description in RNAcentral is "partial small subunit ribosomal RNA". The record is from RNAcentral. Lineage: Eukaryota; Viridiplantae; Streptophyta; Magnoliopsida; Poales; Poaceae.